GCCUCGGUAGCUCAGUUGGUAGAGCAGAGGACUGAAAAUCCUCGUGUCGGCGGUUCGAUUCCGCCCUGAGGCA
Molecule: transfer RNA, 73 nt
Organism: Thermosinus carboxydivorans Nor1
Lineage: Bacteria; Bacillati; Bacillota; Negativicutes; Selenomonadales; Sporomusaceae
Rfam family: tRNA
About the family: Transfer RNA (tRNA) molecules are approximately 80 nucleotides in length. Their secondary structure includes four short double-helical elements and three loops (D, anti-codon, and T loops). Further hydrogen bonds mediate the characteristic L-shaped molecular structure. tRNAs have two regions of fundamental functional importance: the anti-codon, which is responsible for specific mRNA codon recognition, and the 3' end, to which the tRNAs corresponding amino acid is attached (by aminoacyl-tRNA synthetases). tRNAs cope with the degeneracy of the genetic code in two manners: having more than one tRNA (with a specific anti-codon) for a particular amino acid; and 'wobble' base-pairing, i.e. permitting non-standard base-pairing at the 3rd anti-codon position.
Source: Rfam